RNAcentral lists this ribosomal RNA (439 nucleotides) under uncultured bacterium. Its description in RNAcentral is "partial 16S ribosomal RNA". It matches the Rfam family "Bacterial small subunit ribosomal RNA", at positions 339 to 795 of the family's 1533-position model. The record is from RNAcentral.
CUACGGGGGGCAGCAGUGAGGAAUAUUGCACAAUGGGGGGAACCCUGAUGCAGCAACGCCGCGUGGAGGAUGACGCAUUUCGGUGUGUAAACUCCUUUUAUAUGUGAAGAAAAUGACGGUAGCAUAUGAAUAAGCGCCGGCUAACUCCGUGCCAGCAGCCGCGGUAAUACGGAGGGCGCAAGCGUUACUCGGAAUCACUGGGCGUAAAGGACGCGUAGGCGGGUUGAAAAGUCAGGUGUGAAAGCCUACAGCUUAACUGUAGAACUGCACUUGAAACUCUCAACCUAGAGUAUGGGAGGGGCAGAUGGAAUUAGUGGUGUAGGGGUAAAAUCCGUGGAUAUCACUAGGAAUACCUAAAGCGAAGGCGAUCUGCUGGAACAUUACUGACGCUAAGGCGUGAAAGCGUGGGGAGCAAACAGGAUUAGAUACCCCCGUAGUC